UGGCUCAGAACGAACGCUGGCGGCAGGCUUAACACAUGCAAGUCGAGCGCCCCGCAAGGGGAGCGGCAGACGGGUGAGUAACGCGUGGGAAUCUACCCAUCACUACGGAACAACUCCGGGAAACUGGAGCUAAUACCGUAUACGUCCUUCGGGAGAAAGAUUUAUCGGUGAUGGAUGAGCCCGCGUUGGAUUAGCUAGUUGGUGGGGUAAUGGCCUACCAAGGCGACGAUCCAUAGCUGGUCUGAGAGGAUGAUCAGCCACACUGGGACUGAGACACGGCCCAGACUCCUACGGGAGGCAGCAGUGGGGAAUAUUGGACAAUGGGCGCAAGCCUGAUCCAGCCAUGCCGCGUGAGUGAUGAAGGCCCUAGGGUUGUAAAGCUCUUUCAACGGUGAAGAUAAUGACGGUAACCGUAGA
This 417-nucleotide ribosomal RNA is filed under the name barley rhizosphere bacterium LJ26. RNAcentral describes it as "bacterial SSU rRNA". It matches the Rfam family "Bacterial small subunit ribosomal RNA", at positions 20 to 485 of the family's 1533-position model. The record is from RNAcentral.